This 253-nucleotide ribosomal RNA is filed under the name uncultured bacterium. RNAcentral's name for it is "partial 16S ribosomal RNA". It matches the Rfam family "Bacterial small subunit ribosomal RNA", at positions 524 to 776 of the family's 1533-position model. The record is from RNAcentral.
UACGUAGGGGGCAAGCGUUGUCCGGAUUUAUUGGGCGUAAAGAGCGUGUAGGCGGCUAGGUAGGUCCGUUGUGAAAACUCGAGGCUCAACCUCGAGCCUGCAUUCGAUACUGGGCGGCUAGAGUCUGGUAGGGGGAUCUGGAAUUCCUGGUGUAGCGGUGGAAUGCGCAGAUAUCAGGAGGAACACCGGUGGCGAAGGCGGGAUCCUGGGCCAGUACUGACGCUGAGGAGCGAAAGCGUGGGGAGCAAACAGG